Molecule: ribosomal RNA, 605 nt
Filed under: Ascomycota sp. SMIA33
Lineage: Eukaryota; Fungi; Ascomycota
Description: eukaryotic LSU rRNA
Rfam family: Eukaryotic large subunit ribosomal RNA
Source: RNAcentral
UGACCUCGAAUCAGGUAGGGAUACCCGCUGAACUUAAGCAUAUCAAUAAGCGGAGGAAAAUAAACCAACARGGAUUACUUCAGUAACGGCGAGUGAAGCGGUAACAGCUCAAAUUUAAAAUCUGGCCUCACGGUCCGAGUUGUAAUUUGUAGAGGAUGUCUCGAACGUGGUCCGGUCUAAGUUCCUUGGAACAGGACGUCAUAGAGGGUGAGAAUCCCGUAUGCGACUGGGUGCCUUAGUUCAUGUGAAACUCCUUCGACGAGUCGAGUUGUUUGGGAAUGCAGCUCAAAAUGGGUGGUAAAUUUCAUCUAAAGCUAAAUAUUGGCUCAGAGACCGAUAGCGCACAAGUAGAGUGAUCGAAAGAUGAAAAUCACUUUGGAAAGAGAGUUAAACAGUACGUGAAAUUGUUGAAAGGGAAGCGCUUGCAAUCAGACUUGCACGCAGUUGAUCAUCCGGUGUUCUCACCGGUGCACUCGAUUGUGUUCAGGCCAGCAUCGGUUUCGGUGGUUGGAUAAAGGCCUUGGCAACGUAGCUCCUUUCGGGGACUGGUAUAGCCCUCGGNCAAUGCAGCNUNCCGGGACCGAGGACCGCGUYUCGCAUAGGAC